Molecule: ribosomal RNA, 253 nt
Filed under: uncultured bacterium
Lineage: Bacteria
Description: partial 16S ribosomal RNA
Rfam family: Bacterial small subunit ribosomal RNA
Source: RNAcentral
UACGUAGGGUGCAAGCGUUGUCCGGAUUUAUUGGGCGUAAAGAGCUCGUAGGCGGUUUGUCGCGUCGGAUGUGAAAACCCAGGGCUCAACCCUGGGCCUGCAUUCGAUACGGGCAGACUAGAGUAUGGCAGGGGAGACUGGAAUUCCUGGUGUAGCGGUGAAAUGCGCAGAUAUCAGGAGGAACACCGGUGGCGAAGGCGGGUCUCUGGGCCAUAACUGACGCUGAGGAGCGAAAGCGUGGGGAGCGAACAGG